Daktulosphaira vitifoliae (grape phylloxera) is the source of this 6454-nucleotide RNA transcript. It is a transcript of the gene named alpha-tocopherol transfer protein-like, with no coding region annotated. The transcript is spliced from 13 exons. Lineage: Eukaryota; Metazoa; Arthropoda; Insecta; Hemiptera; Phylloxeridae. The record is from RefSeq and is a predicted model, not a curated record.
UUUUGUUUUGAAGUCAGUAUUCUUAUUUCAUUUGCUUCUUAUUAAAACUAAUAACCAAUAAAAUUUUCGGCUGAUUUAAUCGGAAAGAAAAUUCAAUAUUUUUUGUUCCUAAUACAAUAUUUUAUAAUCAGGAUCUUAUAAUGUAUACACCCAAAACUAGAUACGAAGAUUUUUUAAAAGGAGAGCAAGAAAAAUAUCCAGAAUUAAACUUAGAAGAUAUUGACGCUUUGAAAGCUCUCGUAAAGGCAAACGAUAAAUUACCAGCUGUUACGAAUAGAGAAAUAAUUUUGUUUUUGCAUAGUUCUUAUUUCAAUGUAGAAAAAGCAUACGCUGUACUCGUCAACUACUUCAAAUAUAGGAAGGAUAUUCCACAAAUAUUCACUAGAGUUGAUCCGUUGUCAGAUGAUAUGAAAGAUAUGUUUGAAACUAUGAGUUUCCCUAUAAUAUCGGCUCCAUAUAAAGGUAAAGAAGAUAGAUAUGUAUAUACUAACUUUAAAAAAACUGAUGCUAAAUAUUUUGAUUACGUGAAAAGUGCACAAUUAUUUUUUAUGGUGAUGGAUGCUUUAAUUAUACAGCACGGGACGUUCGAAGGAGUGAUUCUUACGAUGGAUGCCAAACACCUCAACUGGAGACAUUUAACAAAAAUUCCUAUGACUUUGGCAAAACGUCUUAUGGAAUUUGUACAAGAUGGAUUACCUAUAAGGUUAAAGGCAGUACAUAUUGUAAACGCGGGUUCACUCGCUAUAACGUUAUUUAAUUUAUUAAAACCGUUUAUGAGAAGCCAUUUUUUAGAUAUAGUUACUUUACAUUCCGUAGGAUCAACUGAAGUAUUUAAAUACGUUCCACUUGAGUAUAUGCCUGAGGAAAUGGGUGGCCAAGGGAAAAGUCACAUUGAAUAUUUUGAUGAAACUUAUGAAUUUAUGUGUUUAUAUCGUGAUUGGCUAUUAAACUUUAACGAGUAUCCUAAAGAUUAAAAAGAACAAUAAGGAGUAUAGAAAAAUGACUACACCCGCCAAAUUUUAUGUACAAUACUCAAAAUGUUAAUUUUUGAAUAAACUUAUAAAUAAUGGUUACUAAACAUAAAAACGGUAGCACAGUAGAGUGGCGACGCAGUGUGGACGUGGCAUAGAUGUAUAGAUGUUAUCUUACAUAGAUAUAGAAUAUUCCUUGGAAACAGUGUGAAAUAUGAAAUGUGAAAUGUUAAAAGGACAUUAGAGAGGCGGCGGCAUAUUAACCCAACGAAACCCAACUAUGACGUGUAUGCCUUUGACCAUAGAGGGCCCCCCUUCCUUGACUAACGUAUGUAUUAAACAGUAGACCAACGGUUUACUCCUACACAGAAGAAAGGCGAUAUGUAAUCAUACUCAUCACAAGGUGAUUAUUAUUAUGAUAUUAAAGUAAACAAAUAAAUAUGUACAAUAUUUAACUAUUUCAUAAGAAUUUAGUUUAAAGAAAAUUAAUUAAAACCAAAUUUAGUUAAAAAGAAUAUAUUUGUACGUUAGAAGUAAUAUUUUAUCAAAUUCUUUUUGAUUAUUCAGUUACAUUAAUGCGUUUGUUAAUAUACAUAUUUUGUUAAUGUUUGAUUAGUUGAUUAUUAUUAUAAUAACCAUAUAGUUCUACUAUAUGAAAUCUCUUGUUUAAAAUGUAACUAUGAAUACAUUUUAAAGUUUAAGAAUGUUAUAACAUUAUAACUAGUCUUUAUAUUAUUCAAUUCUUUUACUUUUGGGUAUUCUUUAAAGAAACUUCUACUAAUGAGUCAAUGCAUUAACGCAUGUACAUUAGUUAGUGAUACUAUAUGUUAUACCUUUGCAAAAUACCAUACUUAGUUCGUUAAGUGAGGAGUCUAAAAGGACAAGGAAAGGGACAAAAAUUUAUAUGUAAGAAUUACCCAAUAAGACAUUUAACAUUUUGUACAAGUGUAAUUCGUGUUUCUUAACUUGUUUAGUUAACAUUUGUUAUUAACUGUACUUGAAACAUUAUAUACAUUUUAAAUAAUCUACAGUUAACUUCAAUCUUUAUUCACUAUUUUUUCAAAAUCGGUAAAAAUUCAUCAAUGUGGUACUUGUGGUAAAUCAUUUUCAAGUGUUAGCAAUCGUAAACUGCAUAUGAAAAUUUAUAGUGAUGCGCGAAUUAGUUGUAAUGUAUGUACAAAAAAAUUUACAAGAAAGAGCUUUUAAUAAGACAUCAGAAAUUGUUACAUGAUGAAACCCGUCCAGUACAAUUGAAUGUAACUAAAAGAAAUGUUGUAAACCCCAAUAUGAAUAAGCCGUUGCAAAGUGUUACUAUACCUGAUUGUAAACCAUCAACAUCGACUAACGUAAAAAAAGGCAAGAAAAAUGAUUUUAUUAUUAUUAUUAUUAUUAAGCACAGUAAAUAUUACAACUCGCCUAAACGUCAUAACCGAUUUUUCAUAAUUUUAUGAUUUUAUUAAAACAAUUACAAUUUAAAAGCUAAUUUCUUAAAAUUUAUAUUAUUAAUUAAGUACAGUACAUAUUACAAGUUGCCCAUACACCAUGCACGAUUUUUUCAAAAUUUAUAAUACUUAGGAAAAAUGUUUUUUAAUUAUAACUUUAGUUUAUUUUUUUAAAGUAUAUCAUUAUAUAACAAAAUAUAUUAAUUAAGAAUGGCUAACGCACAUUUAUCAGAUGAAAAAAGAAAACAUGGGAUUGACUCUUGUUGGGGUGGUGAAGAAGAGGAUAAUCUUUGCUUACUAGCAGACUCUAGGGGGAAAAAGACAAAGAAAUUUCAACUCGAUAAUUUAAAUGUUAGUGGUUUUAAUUUGAUAAAACAGGCAUUUGAAGGGUUGCAUAAAACUUAUUAAAAAAAAUAAAUAAAUAAAAACGGGGACUUAACUAUGAAGCGUUUUCAGAGGAAAUAAGGCCUGAACUAAUUGAACUGCUGCAACGUCUCUUAACCGAUAGUCCUAUUAAGUACAGUUUAAAACUAGAAUCCACGUACGUCAUUCCUAACAAAGCUGAAACCAAAGAAGAUAGAUCCUUUAAAACUACACAGCGAAAUUUGUUCAUGUCUAGUUCAAUACACGAAUCUCUUAAUGAAGAAUUCAAUAAACUUAUUUUAGAGCAAGAGGAAUAUCUAGGAAAAGGUAGUGGAUUUACAUUAAAUCGAAUUGAUGGUAUUAUAUUGUACACCGAUAAAUAUACACCAUUUGGAGGUGGUAGUUAUUUACCACUCCCUAAAAAAAUAGAAAUAAAUUUGCAAUAAUUAACGUGAAAAAUUCAGAAAACAAGUGUUUCAUUUACAGUAUUAUAUCUAAAUUUAUUAUCUCUCCAAACGCUUCACGUAUGACUGUUCAACAAAAACAUCUGGAAAAUCUAAUCAUAGGUACAGUUUCUCUGGUUUAACUAUGCCGAUGGCCCUUGAUGAAAUCUCGAAAUUUGAGAAAUAAAAUGAAGGAGUUCCAGUUAACGUUUACGGGUUAAAAAAGGGUAUUGCCACAUACAAAAAAAAUCGUGCUCGAGUGAAUAAAAAUAUUAUUUUACCUCUAAGAGUGUGCAAAGAUGAAAAACCUGAUCACUUUGAUCUUUUAAUGCUGAAUAACGAUCAAGGUAUUUUUCAUUACUGUUUUAUUACUGAUUUGUCAAGAUGCUUUUAAUUAUACACUUCAAAGCCCAACAAGCCUAGCAAAGAGGAGCUUCUACGUUGACAUAAAGAAAGAUGUACAGUAAACGAACUUAUAGCUCAUGUUAUGCUCGAACGUGAUAUAUUCAUCAAGUUUGAAAACUGGGGGGGGGGGAUACACAACGUCAUCCAGUGGUUAUCUAUGUUGAUUUUAAAGCUGUACUAUUCAAGAAUAACAAUGAAGACACUCAAGAAAUAUUGAACACUAGAGUAACACAUGAUCACGAACACUUGCGUUACUGUUUUUAUGUUAAAACUAGGGAUGAUAUAACAACAAGUUUGGUAGAACAGUUCUCAAUUCCAACGAAUCCAGUAUUAUACAGAGGUGAUGACUAAGGAGAAAAGGAAGAUUUUGCCAAAAAUUUUAUCGAGAAAAUUGUAGAAAUGGCUAAAAAUAUUGGAGAAAUGUUAAAAGUUAACUCUCUUAUGACGUUCAAUCAAUCUGAUGCAAAAAAACAUAAUGAGAUCAUUAACACAAAGUUCAUGUUUUUUAUGUUUCAGUAAGUUCUCUACAAAGAAUCAUCCAGUACGUGAUCAUAAACAUUUAACAUCCAAAUAUAGGCAAACAUAUUGUAAAAAUGCAACUUUAAGUAAAAGUCUCCUAAAUUUGUCCCUUGCUUUUUUUACAACUUAUCUAACUACGACGGUCAUUUCAUUGUAACACAGCUUCAAUACGACUAUAAACCCAUAACUGUUAUACCUAACACCAAAGUAAAGUUAAUUUCUUUCUCAAAAUUGUUAUGAAGGACUUUCACAUAAGAUUUGUCGAUAGUAAUAGAUUCAUGGCAUCUAGUUUGUCUAAACUAACGGAAAACUUGGCUAAAGGUGACAUUGGAAAAUUCAAAGAUAAGACAAAACAUUUUCCAAAUUCAAAUAUCAAUCUUAUUACUCAUAAAGGUGUUUACCCUUACGAAUAUACAGAUUCGUUUGAAAAAUUGAACGAAAUAGCGUUGCCAUCCAUAAAUGAUUUUUAUAGUUCUCUGAAUGAAAGUCAUAUAACCGAAGAGGACUAUAAACAUGCACAAAAAGUUUGGGAUCACUUCGGAUGUGCAACGCUCGUACAGUACAGUGAUUGGUAUUUGAAAUUGGAUGUGAUAUUGCUGUGUGAUGUCUUUGAAUCAUUUAGAGAUGCAUGUAUCAAAAUAUAUGGACUUGAUCCCAAUUAUUAUUACACUGCACAAGGCAUGUCGUUUGACUGUAUGUUGAAACAUACAAAAGUUAACUUAGAAUUUUUGCAUGAAUACGAUAUGUUGAUGAUUGAAAUGGUAUACGAGGAGGUUUGACGACAGCAGUACGCAAAUAUACCAAAGCUAAUCAUGUUGGACUUGCCGACUAUGAUGUCAAUAUACCAGAUGGUUAGAUCAUUUAUCUUGGUGCUACAAAUCUGUAUGGAUGGGCCAUGUCACAGUACCUACCUAAAAACAGAUUCAAAUGGAGUGAAAAGAAUUUAAGUGUUCCAGCAGUUUUAAAUCUCUUGGAAGAAACUUCAGUUGAUUUGAAAAAAAGGAAUGAUAUUAGAAGUUGACAUUUCAUACCCUGAACACUUACAUAAUAAUCAUAACGAUUUACCAUAUCUUCCAGUUAAGGAAGUACCUAAAGGUUCUAAAUUUCUAAAGCUUUUGACUACCUUAGAACAUAAAAAAAUUACAUUGUUCGUUACAAUUCGCUGAAACAGGCAUUACAGGCAGAACUGAUGUUAGAAAAAGUACACAGAAUAAUAGAUUUCAAUCAAUUCCCUUGGCUAGCAAAUUAUAUAUCGUUGAAUACACAAUUUCGUUCGUUAGCCAAAAAUGUGUUCGAAAAGGAUUUUUAUAAACUAAUGAACAAUUCAGUAUUCGGAAAAAUUAUAGAUGUACGAUUACGAAUGAAAAUGGAACUUACAAGCAAUGAAUUAAAGUAUAGAAAAUUUGUUAAUCUACCGAACCAUAGAGGUGCAACUAUUUACAAUAACAAUUUGUGCACAAUAAACCUUCAUAAGGAUGAUAUAAUAUUUAAUAAGCCUAUGUAUAUAGAAUUUGCGGUAUUGGUCAUAUCGAAAACUCUGAUGUACGAUUUUCAAUAAGGAACUAUGAAAGCUUUGUAUGGUGAAAAUAUAGAACUUUUAUACAUGAACACAAUUCAUUGAUAUAUUUAGUAAAAACUAAACAUUUAAUGAAGAUGUAUCCAAAACUCCAGAUUUUAAUGAAAAGCUGGAUACAUAAAAUUACUCCUCUGAUCAUCCAUGCAUUCGCACUGAACCUUGUAAGAUUCCGGGUACUUUUACGGACGAAACCGCUGAGGAAUUUAUAUCUGAGCAUAUAGCCUUAAGAUCUAAGGCAUAUGGAUAUGUUUAGAACUCUAAAGAGUGUAUCAAAACAAAAGGAGUAGCAUGUCAUGCUGUCAACAAUUAUAUCAGAUUUGAAAUUUAUAAGCAGUGUCUCUUUCAAGGAAUAGAAGAUAUUCCAAAAGAUUAUAUUCGAUAUAGACAAAUGAACUCAUUCAGAUCUUACAAGCAUGAAAUCAAAUCUAUUACUAGUACAAAUAUUGCAUUAAAUAUAUUUGAUGACAAUCGCAUUGUAAUGAAAGAUCAAAUUCAUACGUUAGCAAACAGACACUACAAAAUUGAGUGAAGUUAACAGUCAUUAAUGAAAUUAAUAAUAUGUAUGUAAUAUAUAUGUAUUUUAAUUUACAAAUUUAUUUAUUUAUUUUUUUAGGGAUUUGAGACAACAAGGUGGUUUUUUCAACUUAAAUAUUUAAUCAUACUUUAUGUAAAAUAUUUCUAUUACUGUCCACUGUGUAAAUAAUUUGUUUAUUACUCGUAAACGUUAACAGUAAU